GCGAACCCAGGUCGAGCGGGACUACCCGCUAAAUUUAAGCAUAUAAAUAAGCGGAGAAAAAAACUUACAAGGAUUCUACUAGUAACAAUUUAGUAAUGAUGAGCGAACCGGUAAGAGCCCAAGUUGAUAAUUGAUCAUCCUCAGCGUCCGAAUUGUAGUAUGAAUAAGUGUCCUCAACGACGGACUAGAACCAAGUCCCUUGGAAAGGGGCGUCAUAGAAGGUAAGAUCCCUAUUAUGCCCGGGCCCCAUAACACCACGACACACUAUCUACGAGUUAGGUUAUUUAUGAAUUCAGUCAUAAUCGAGCAGUAAAUUAUGUCCAAGGCCAAAUACGGGUGAGAGACCGAUAGCUAACAAGUAUCGCGAGGGAAAUAUGGAAAGAAUUUUAAAAAGAGAAUCAAAAAGUGCUUGAAAUUGUUAUGAGGGAAUCAGAUGAGGCUGACGAUGCACCACGAUCAGAUAUGGAAUAGUGAAUGUCAGUCUGUCGAUCGAUUCAGGCCGUGACUGAAGCGGAUAGUGGUGGUGGCCCAAGCCUAUGCCUUUGACACAACUGUGGAGAAGUCAUCGCCAAGAUUAUGUAACCCAACACACACCGGCUCAGUAUGCAUUAACAUUGCCUUACUUAAGGCGUUGUCCUGCGGCUCCAUAUCCAUUCCGUCUUGAAACAUAAACCAAGGAGUCUGACAUAUGUGCGACUCAAUGGGUAGAAAAUUCAUAAGGCGCAAAGAAACUGAUUUGCAGGAUCCUUCUUGGGUGCACCAUCGACUGAUCUUGAUCUUAUGCGAAGAGAUCAAGUGAAAGCAUGUUUGUCAAGACCCUAAAAAUGUUAAACAAUGCAUAAGUGAUGCAAAACUAGAUGAAACUUCGUAGAGGCCUGUAGCGCUACUGAUGUGCAAAUUGUUUAUGUGACUUGGGUAUAUGGCGAAAGACGAAUUGAACCGUCUUGUAGCUAGUUCCCUAUGAUGUUUCCCUUAUGAUAGCUGGAGCCUUUAGCGAGUUUUAUUGGGUAAAUACAAUUAUUAAAGGCAUCGGGGGUGCAACGCCCUUGAUAUAUUCUUAAACUUUAAAUAUGUAGGAUGGCGCAACUACUUAAUUAAGUCAUAUCACGGAAUCAAGAGCUCCAAGUAGGUCAUUUUUGGUAAUCAGAACUGACAAUGUUGGAUGAACCAAAAUACGGGUUAUAGUUCCCAACUACGCACUAACCUAAUACCCACAAAAGGUGUUGGUCAAUUAUUACAACAAGAUAAUGGUCAUGGAAGUCGAAAUCCACUAAGGAGUGUGAAACAACUCACAUACCUAAUCAACUAGCCCCGAAAAUAGAUGGUGCCUAAUUGUGUGACCUAUUACCAACUGCUAGGGAAAGGGCCAUGCCCCGAUGAGUGUAAGGGCACGGAAACAUCCAUAAAACUUGGGGCGUGAACCCGGGCAGAGCGGUCAUUGGUGCAAAUCUUAGUGUUAGAAGCAAAAUUCAAAUAAGUGUUUUGAAGGCCGAAGAGAGGAAAGGUACCAUGUGAAUGCCACUUGCACAUGGGUUAGUCGAUCCUAAGAGAUAGGGAAGCCUGUCUGAUAGUGCGUUUCACGCGAACUUUGAAAGAGAAUUAAUUUAGAAUUCCUAAAUCGAGACGUGGUUACUGACGAAAAUGUUAGGGAACCUGGAGACAUCAACGAGGGCGUUAAGAAGAGUUAUCUUUUCUAUUUAAUGACCUGCCCAACCUGGAAAUGACUCAAUCAGAGGUAGGUUUUAGCAGUGAAAUAGCACCUCACAUUGCAUUGUGCUGAUGCACCCAGUGGCCCUUAACAAUUUGGAGGACUAAGUGUCGACCAUGCUCGAUCGUACUUAUAAAUGUGUCAAGUCUCAAAGUUGAAGAACCUAUGGUCAAUGGAACAUUGUAGGAAAGGGAAGUCGGAAAAAUGGAUCUGUAACCUCAAGAAAAAGAUUGGCCCUGAGGGCUGGGCAUAUGGAUCCCAAUCCUGAACCCGUCGGCUUCUGGUGCAUUACUCAAGCUACUCCCGUAGUGAGAGCGGGUCACUACGUGCCGUCUAGAGGAGAUUGGUAAUGACUCCUUCAGGGGCCUUCCCUGGCGACAAACCGUCGACUCAAAACUAGUACAGGUAAGGGAAAUCUUGUAGUUUAAUUAAAACAAAGCAUUACAAUGGUCGAUGUGGAUACUCACCCAAUAUAAUUUCUACCCAGUGCCCUAUAUAUCGAAGUAAAGAAAUUUAACCAAGUACAGGUAAAUGACAAGAGUAACUAUUACUCUCUUAAAGUUAUCCAAAUGCCUUGUCAUCUAAUUAGUACACACAUGAAUGGAUUAACGAGAUUCCCACUGUCCUUGUCUACUCUCCACCGAAACUACAACCAAGGGAACAAGCUUGGUAGAAUCAACGACAAAAGAAGACCUUUUUAAGCUUGACAGUAGUCCAACUUUGUGAAUUUACCUGAGAGGUGUAGGAUAAGUGGGAGCUCUCGGGGAAAAAUUGAAAUACCACUAUAUUUAACAUUAUUUGACUUAUGACGUGAAUCAAAAGUGGGGCACGACCCCUCUAUUUGGACCUAAGGCCAGCUUCGGUCAGUCGAUCCAGGUAAAAGACAUUGUCAGGUGGGGAGUUUGGUGGGGGAAACACAUAUGUUAAAUAUAACGCAUGUGUCCUAAGAUGAGUUAAACGAGAAUAGAAAUCUCUCGUGGAACAAAAGUGUAAAAGCUCGUUUGAUUUUGAUUUGCAGUAUGAAUAUGAACCGUGAAAGCGUGGCAUAUAAAUCAUUUAGACCUUUGAAAUUUGAAGCUGGAGGUGUCAGAAAAGUUACCACAGGGAUAAAUGGCUUGUGGCAGCAAAGCGUUUAUAGCGACAUUACUUUUUAAUCCUUCAAUCUCAUCUUUUCCUAUCUUUGUGAAGCAGAAUUCAUCAAGUGUUAGAUUGUUCACCCACCAAUAAGGAACGUGAGCUGGGUUUAGACCAUCGUGAGACAAAUUAGUUUUACUCUACCAAUGAUUGCUAGCAAUAGUAAUUCAACCUAGUACGAGAGGGGUACGAAGCUACCGUGUGUUGGAUUAUGACUGAAUGCCUCUUAGUUAGAAUCAGGGAUAGAAGCGACGUAUACGCUCGUCGCCUUGU
This 3115-nucleotide ribosomal RNA is filed under the name Hibiscus syriacus. Its description in RNAcentral is "eukaryotic LSU rRNA". It matches the Rfam family "Eukaryotic large subunit ribosomal RNA". Lineage: Eukaryota; Viridiplantae; Streptophyta; Magnoliopsida; Malvales; Malvaceae. The record is from RNAcentral.